Camelina sativa (false flax) is the source of this 487-nucleotide long non-coding RNA. RefSeq lists it as uncharacterized. Lineage: Eukaryota; Viridiplantae; Streptophyta; Magnoliopsida; Brassicales; Brassicaceae. The record is from RefSeq and is a predicted model, not a curated record.
UUCAUCUUUAUUUCUCUCCCUUCGCAUCUCUUGCACCAUUUUAUUCGAUUCAAGGAUAAACGUUUAGAUUUUUUUUCUUUAUCUCAAUUCCAUUCGCUCUAUACUUACAAUAUAUGUGAUCCUCUUUGCUGGAAACAAAAUGAAGAUGUUAUUAGAUUAUAGUCAAGUUCCUAACCGAAUCUAUCAAAAAAGGAAUGGAAGAUAAAGAGCUCUUAUAUCCCGAAGUUGCGAAGUCAUGUCAAAGAUAAACUUGGAAUAACUCUCGGCAUAUUAAAGUUAUUAUCGUGGAUGAAAAGGAAGGAGAGUGUUAAACACCACUUUAUCAUUGCUGAAAUUGCUGCAGUGAUAUUAUGGAGGUAUUGUGACAUUAUGAGGAUUCAAACUGGAAGAAGAUUCAAGGAGCAAUAGAGGAAGAGAAAAAAAAAACAGACACGUAGAAUAAGAGAAAGAAAUAGGAGGUAAUCUAGAAGCUCUCAUUAGUAGAAAA